Molecule: unclassified non-coding RNA, 334 nt
Filed under: soil metagenome
Description: partial contains 5.8S ribosomal RNA, internal transcribed spacer 2, and large subunit ribosomal RNA
Rfam family: 5.8S ribosomal RNA (bases 1-120)
Source: RNAcentral
GAUGAAGAAUGCAGCGAAAUGCGAUAAGUAAUGUGAAUUGCAGAAUUCAGUGAAUCAUCGAAUCUUUGAACGCACAUUGCGCCCCCCAGUAUUCUGGCGGGCAUGCCUGUUCGAGCGUCAUUUCAACCAUCAAGCCCUGCUUGUGUUGGGGUCCUGCGGCUGCCCGCAGGCCCUGAAAACCAGUGGCGGGCUCGCUAGUCACACCGAGCGCAGUAGCACAUCUCGCUCAGGGCGUGCGGCGGGCUCCAGCCGUUAAAGCACCCACCUUUCGCAAGGUUGACCUCGGAUCAGGUAGGAAUACCCGCUGAACUUAAGCAUAUCAAUAAGCGGAGGA